This 371-nucleotide ribosomal RNA is filed under the name uncultured organism. RNAcentral's name for it is "bacterial SSU rRNA". It matches the Rfam family "Bacterial small subunit ribosomal RNA", at positions 526 to 896 of the family's 1533-position model. The record is from RNAcentral.
CAGAGGUCCCGAGCGUUGUUCGGAUUCACUGGGCGUAAAGGGUGCGUAGGUGGCGAUGAAAGUUCGAUGUGAAAUCUCCGGGCUUAACCCGGAAAAGGCAUUGAAAACUAUGUUGCUUGAGGUUUGAGGGGGGACUGGAAUUCUUGGUGUAGCAGUGAAAUGCGUAGAUAUCAAGAGGAACACCAGUGGCGAAGGCGGGUCCCUGGACAACACCUGACACUGAGGCACGAAAGCUAGGGGAGCAAACAGGAUUAGAUACCCUGGUAGUCCUAGCCCUAAACGGUGCAUGUUUGCUGUAGGAGGAAUCGACCCCUUCUGUGGCGAAGCUAACGCGAUAAACAUGCCGCCUGGGGAGUACGGUCGCAAGAUUA